RNAcentral lists this transfer RNA (88 nucleotides) under Actinomycetales bacterium. RNAcentral describes it as "tRNA-Ser". It matches the Rfam family "tRNA". From Rfam's summary of the family: Transfer RNA (tRNA) molecules are approximately 80 nucleotides in length. Their secondary structure includes four short double-helical elements and three loops (D, anti-codon, and T loops). Lineage: Bacteria; Bacillati; Actinomycetota; Actinomycetes; Actinomycetales. The record is from RNAcentral. RNAcentral also lists the same sequence under 1 other name.
GGAGGCGUCGCAUAGUGGCCUAGUGCGCCCGCCUGCUAAGUGGGUUGGGGUUAAAGACCCCUCGCGGGUUCAAAUCCCGCCGCCUCCG